AAGGAAGAAAGAAAGGAAAGGAAAAAGGAAAGGAGGGGGGAGGGGGAGGGAGAGGCAACGCCGACGAUCCCGAGAAUCUUGCACCAAACGCGCCCAACCUGGAGAGACGGGGAAAAAUCCUUCCAGAAGAAUUUGCAGGCGUGGAUUGGGAUUGCAGGCUGCGCCCUCCCUGCCCUGUCCAGGGAUGGGGCUCCCAGACUCUCUGCAAAGACGAACUGCCGACCCCUCCCCUUCCCCAGUGGCGGCAGCCUCCUGGCCUGGCUGCAAGGGAGGCAUCUGAACACACACAGGAUGCCAAGCCCUUCAGACGCAGAGCGGAUCCCAGUGCCAACCAUGUGGGUGUGCAUCCCCCCCAGAUCGGCCUUGGCACAUCUGGCCGGUCUGCAGUGUUUUCCCCAUCCAGGCACCCAGCUGUGUGGCGGAGCCAUAAAGGAAACAGAACAAGAAGUUGCCCCUUAUCUGUGUUCACAUGAUAGUCAGAGACCAUAGAGUAUAUGUAGAUUUUAUCUGCAAUUGUAGAUUCUGCUCUAUAACCAUUUGCCUUAUGCACCUCACUAAAACCCAAAUGUGGGAUCAAAAGUUUAAAGUUUAAUCAUGUGUAUUUUUUCAUGAUUUUAAUAGAAUUUUUAAUCCU
Long non-coding RNA from Myotis brandtii (Brandt's bat), 634 nucleotides. RefSeq lists it as uncharacterized. The transcript has 3 exons. Lineage: Eukaryota; Metazoa; Chordata; Mammalia; Chiroptera; Vespertilionidae. The record is from RefSeq and is a predicted model, not a curated record.